AGAGUUUGAUCCUGGCUCAGAGUGAACGCUGGCGGUAGGCCUAACACAUGCAAGUCGAACGGCAGCACAGGAGAGCUUGCUCUCUGGGUGGCGAGUGGCGGACGGGUGAGGAAUACAUCGGAAUCUACUUUUUCGUGGGGGAUAACGUAGGGAAACUUACGCUAAUACCGCAUACGACCUACGGGUGAAAGCAGGGGAUCUUCGGACCUUGCGCGAUUGAAUGAGCCGAUGUCGGAUUAGCUAGUUGGCGGGGUAAAGGCCCACCAAGGCGACGAUCCGUAGCUGGUCUGAGAGGAUGAUCAGCCACACUGGAGCUGAGACACGGUCCAGACUCCUACGGGAGGCAGCAGUGGGGAAUAUUGGACAAUGGGCGCAAGCCUGAUCCAGCCAUACCGCGUGGGUGAAGAAGGCCUUCGGGUUGUAAAGCCCUUUUGUUGGGAAAGAAAUCCAGCUGGCUAAUACCCGGUUGGGAUGACGGUACCCAAAGAAUAAGCACCGGCUAACUUCGUGCCAGCAGCCGCGGUAAUACGAAGGGUGCAAGCGUUACUCGGAAUUACUGGGCGUAAAGCGUGCGUAGGUGGUCGUUUAAGUCCGUUGUGAAAGCCCUGGGCUCAACCUGGGAACUGCAGUGGAUACUGGGCGACUAGAGUGUGGUAGAGGGUAGCGGAAUUCCUGGUGUAGCAGUGAAAUGCGUAGAGAUCAGGAGGAACAUCCAUGGCGAAGGCAGCUACCUGGACCAACACUGACACUGAGGCACGAAAGCGUGGGGAGCAAACAGGAUUAGAUACCCUGGUAGUCC
This 799-nucleotide ribosomal RNA is filed under the name uncultured bacterium. RNAcentral describes it as "bacterial SSU rRNA". It matches the Rfam family "Bacterial small subunit ribosomal RNA", at positions 8 to 796 of the family's 1533-position model. The record is from RNAcentral.